GCUCACAACAUAGGGCGAGCAGAUUCCCGCUAACCGCUCUCGAGAGAAGGAGAGUGUGUAUCAGCUCCACUGAACUUGAAACACGGUCCAGAUCUCUACCGAGGCACCAGAAUGGGAAAUUUGGCCCAAUGGCCCAAGCCUAUCAGCCAUGCGCGCGUUGAAAGAAAGGUCCUCCGGGUUGUAAGUCCUUCAGUGGGGAGAAAGGCAGAUAAGGUUAUAAUCUCUCUAUCGAUGACGUUACCCCCGAAAAAAAGCCCCCGCGUAAUCCGUGCCACCAGCCGCGGUAAUACAGAGGGGGCAAGCGCUUAAUUGGAAUUUCUGGGCGUAAAGCGCGCGCAGGCGGUUGUCAAGUUCGAUGUGAAAUCCCCCGGGCUCAACCCUGGGAACUGCAUUCUAAACUGGCAAGCUAGAGUUUUGUAGAGAGGGGGUAGAAUUUCCCAGUGUAGCGGUGAAAAGCGUAGAGAUUGGAGGAACACCCGUGGCGAAGGCGGCCCCCCGGACUGAUACUGACGCUUAGGUGCGAAAGCGUGGGGAGCAAACCGGAUUAGAUACCCUGGUAGUCCCCGCCGUAAACGAUGUCGACUUGGAGGUUGUGGCCUUGAGGUGUUGGUUUCGGAGCUAACGCAUUAAGUUGACCGCCUGGGGAGUACGGCCGCAAGGUUAAAACUCAAAUGAAUUGACGGGGGCCCGCACAAGCGGUGGAGCAUGUGGUUUAAUUUGAAGCAACGCGAAGAACCUUACCCGGCCUUGACAUUCAACGAAUUUUCCAGAGAUGGGUUAGUGCCUUUGGGAACCUUGAGACCGGUGCUGCAAGGCUGUUGUCAACUUGUGUUGUGAAAUGUUGGGUUAAGUCCCGCAACGAGCGCAACCCUUUUCCUUUGUUUCCAGCGGGUAAUGUCGGGAACUCAAAGGAGACUGCCGGUGAUAAACCGGAGGAAGGUGGGGAUGACGUCAAGUCAUCAUGGCCCUUACGGCCAGGGCUACACACGUGCUACAAUGGCGCAUACAAAGAGAAGCGACCUCGCGAGAGCAAGCGGACCUCAUAAAGUGCGUCGUAGUCCGGAUCGGAGUCUGCAACUCGACUCCGUGAAGUCGGAAUCGCUAGUAAUCGUAGAUCAGAAUGCUACGGUGAAUACGUUCCCGGGCCUUGUACACACCGCCCGUCACACCAUGGGAGUGGGUUGCAAAAGAUGUUCUAGCUUAACCUUCGGGAGGGCGCUUACCACUUUGUGAUUCAUGACUGGGGGAAGUCGUAACCCAAGGUACCACACGGA
This 1274-nucleotide ribosomal RNA is filed under the name Leclercia sp. SYC81. Its description in RNAcentral is "bacterial SSU rRNA". It matches the Rfam family "Bacterial small subunit ribosomal RNA", at positions 289 to 1508 of the family's 1533-position model. Lineage: Bacteria; Pseudomonadati; Pseudomonadota; Gammaproteobacteria; Enterobacterales; Enterobacteriaceae. The record is from RNAcentral.